This 467-nucleotide ribosomal RNA is filed under the name uncultured bacterium. Its description in RNAcentral is "partial 16S ribosomal RNA". It matches the Rfam family "Bacterial small subunit ribosomal RNA", at positions 28 to 506 of the family's 1533-position model. The record is from RNAcentral.
GACGAACGCUGGCGGCGUGCUUAACACAUGCAAGUCGAACGGAAAGGCCCUGCUUUUGUGGGGUGCUCGAGUGGCGAACGGGUGAGUAACACGUGAGUAACCUGCCCUUGACUUUGGGAUAACUUCAGGAAACUGGGGCUAAUGCCGGAUAGGAGCUCCUGCUGCAUGGUGGGGGUUGGAAAGUUUCGGCGGUUGGGGAUGGACUCGCGGCUUAUCAGCUUGUUGGUGGGGUAGUGGCUUACCAAGGCUUUGACGGGUAGCCGGCCUGAGAGGGUGACCGGCCACAUUGGGACUGAGAUACGGCCCAGACUCCUACGGGAGGCAGCAGUGGGGAAUAUUGCACAAUGGGCGGAAGCCUGAUGCAGCAACGCCGCGUGCGGGAUGACGGCCUUCGGGUUGUAAACCGCUUUCGCCUGUGACGAAGCGUGAGUGACGGUAAUGGGUAAAGAAGCACCGGCUAACUACGU